This 122-nucleotide ribosomal RNA is filed under the name Aureococcus anophagefferens. RNAcentral describes it as "partial small subunit ribosomal RNA". It matches the Rfam family "Eukaryotic small subunit ribosomal RNA", at positions 1706 to 1827 of the family's 1831-position model. Lineage: Eukaryota; Pelagophyceae; Pelagomonadales; Pelagomonadaceae. The record is from RNAcentral.
ACCUCCGGACUGGGGUUCGCAAGCUUCACGGCGAACAUACCUCGGGAAGUUGGUUAAACCUCACUAUUUAGAGGAAGGUGAAGUCGUAACAAGGUCUCCGUAGGUGAACCUGCAGAAGGAUC